CAGUCGCCGCGGUAAUACAGAGGGUGCGAGCGUUAAUCGGAUUUACUGGGCGUAAAGCGUGCGUAGGCGGCUUCUUAAGUCGGAUGUGAAAUCCCUGAGCUUAACUUAGGAAUUGCAUUCGAUACUGGGAAGCUAGAGUAUGGGAGAGGAUGGUAGAAUUCCAGGUGUAGCGGUGAAAUGCGUAGAGAUCCGGAGGAAUACCGAUGGCGAAGGCAGCCAUCUGGCCUAAUACUGACGCUGAGGUACGAAAGCAUGGGGAGCAAACAGGAUUAGAUACCCGCGUAGUCCCUGUCUCUUAUAC
RNAcentral lists this ribosomal RNA (301 nucleotides) under uncultured bacterium. Its description in RNAcentral is "partial 16S ribosomal RNA". It matches the Rfam family "Bacterial small subunit ribosomal RNA", at positions 509 to 807 of the family's 1533-position model. The record is from RNAcentral.